Molecule: ribosomal RNA, 329 nt
Filed under: uncultured eukaryote
Lineage: Eukaryota
Description: partial 18S ribosomal RNA
Rfam family: Eukaryotic small subunit ribosomal RNA
Source: RNAcentral
CCCUUAGAUGUUCUGGGCCGCACGCGCGCUACACUGAUGCAUUCAACGAGUCUAAAACCUGCUCUGAUAGGGGUGGGUAAUCUUUUGAAUGUGCAUCGUGAUUGGGAUAGAUGAUUGCAAUUUUUCAUCUUCAACGAGGAAUGCCUAGUAAACGCAAGUCAUCAGCUUGCAUUGAUUACGUCCCUGCCCUUUGUACACACCGCCCGUCGCUCCUACCGAUUGAAUGACCCGAUGAAUAUCAUGGAUUGAGGAUGUAAGCAGGUUCGCCUGUCUUCAUCUUCGAGAAGUGAAGUAAAUCUUAUCAUUUAGAGGAAGGAGAAGUCGUAACA